UACGUAGGGGGCAAGCGUUGUCCGGAAUCAUUGGGCGUAAAGAGCGUGUAGGCGGCCAGAUAAGUCCGCUGUGAAAUCUCGAGGCUCAACUUCGAGCUGUCGGUGGAAACUGUCUGGCUAGAGUCCGGAAGAGGAGAGCGGAAUUCCUGGUGUAGCGGUGAAAUGCGCAGAUAUCAGGAGGAACACCAAUGGCGAAGGCAGCUCGCUGGGACGUGACUGACGCUGAGACGCGAAAGCGUGGGGAGCAAACAGG
RNAcentral lists this ribosomal RNA (253 nucleotides) under uncultured bacterium. RNAcentral describes it as "partial 16S ribosomal RNA". It matches the Rfam family "Bacterial small subunit ribosomal RNA", at positions 524 to 776 of the family's 1533-position model. The record is from RNAcentral.